UACGUAGGGUGCAAGCGUUAAUCGGAAUUACUGGGCGUAAAGCGUGCGCAGGCGGUUUUGUAAGACAGAGGCGAAAUCCCCGGGCUCAACCUGGGAACUGCCUUUGUGACUGCAAGGCUAGAGUACGGCAGAGGGGGGUGGAAUUCCGCGUGUAGCAGUGAAAUGCGUAGAUAUGCGGAGGAACACCGAUGGCGAAGGCAACCCCCUGGGCCUGUACUGACGCUCAUGCACGAAAGCGUGGGGAGCAAACAGGAUUAGAUACCCUGGUAGUCCACGCCCUAAACGAUGUCAACUGGUUGUUGGGUCUUAACUGACUCAGUAACGAAGCUAACGCGUGAAGUUGACCGCCUGGGGAGUACGGCCGCAAGGUUGAA
RNAcentral lists this ribosomal RNA (374 nucleotides) under uncultured bacterium. RNAcentral's name for it is "bacterial SSU rRNA". It matches the Rfam family "Bacterial small subunit ribosomal RNA", at positions 524 to 898 of the family's 1533-position model. The record is from RNAcentral.